RNAcentral lists this ribosomal RNA (482 nucleotides) under uncultured bacterium. RNAcentral's name for it is "partial 16S ribosomal RNA". It matches the Rfam family "Bacterial small subunit ribosomal RNA", at positions 28 to 507 of the family's 1533-position model. The record is from RNAcentral.
GACGAACGCUGGCGGCGUGCCUAACACAUGCAAGUCGAACGGAACUGUUUUGAAAGAUUUCUUCGGAAUGAAUUUGAUUUCGUUUAGUGGCGGACGGGUGAGUAACGCGUGAGUAACCUGCCUUCAAGAGGGGAAUAACAUUCUGAAAAGAAUGCUAAUACCGCAUGACAUAUCGGAACCACAUGGUUUUGAUAUCAAAGAUUUUAUCGCUUGAAGAUGGACUCGCGUCCGAUUAGUUAGUUGGUGAGGUAACGGCUCACCAAGACCGCGAUCGGUAGCCGGACUGAGAGGUUGACCGGCCACAUUGGGACUGAGACACGGCCCAGACUCCUACGGGAGGCAGCAGGGGGGGAUAUUGCUCAAUGGGGGCAACCCUGACGCAGCAACGCCGCGUGAAGGAUGAAGGUUUUCUGAAUGUAAACUUCUUUUAUUAAGGACGAAAAAUGACGGUACUUAAUGAAUAAGCUCCGGCUAACUACGUG